UGGGGAAUAUUGCGCAAUGGGCGAAAGCCUGACGCAGCGACGCCGCGUGAGGGAUGAAGGUUUUCGGAUCGUAAACCUCUGUCAGAAGGGAAGAAACCGCACUGUGCUAAUCAGCAGUGCCUUGACGGUACAUUCAAAGGAAGCACCGGCUAACUCCGUGCCAGCAGCCGCGGUAAUAGGGAGGGUGCAAGCGUUAAUCGGAAUUACUGGGCGUAAAGCGCACGUAGGCUGCUUUGUAAGUCAGGGGUGAAAUCCCACGGCUCAACCGUGGAACUGCCUUUGAUUCUGCUUAGCUUGAAUCCGGGAGAGGGUAGCGGAAUUCCGGGUGUAGGAGUGAAAUCCGUAGAUAUCUGGAGGAAUAUCAGUGGCGAAGGCGGCCACCUGGUCCGGUAUUGACGCUGAGGUGCGAAAGAGUGGGGAGCAAACAGG
RNAcentral lists this ribosomal RNA (429 nucleotides) under Fusobacteriota bacterium. Its description in RNAcentral is "Fusobacteria bacterium partial 16S ribosomal RNA". It matches the Rfam family "Bacterial small subunit ribosomal RNA", at positions 355 to 776 of the family's 1533-position model. Lineage: Bacteria; Fusobacteriati; Fusobacteriota. The record is from RNAcentral.